RNAcentral lists this ribosomal RNA (486 nucleotides) under uncultured bacterium. Its description in RNAcentral is "partial 16S ribosomal RNA". It matches the Rfam family "Bacterial small subunit ribosomal RNA", at positions 30 to 507 of the family's 1533-position model. The record is from RNAcentral.
AUUGAACGCUGGCGGCAUGCCUUACACAUGCAAGUCGAACGGCAGCACGGGUGCUUGCACCUGGUGGCGAGUGGCGAACGGGUGAGUAAUACAUCGGAACAUGUCCUGUAGUGGGGGAUAGCCCGGCGAAAGCCGGAUUAAUACCGCAUACGAUCCACGGAUGAAAGCGGGGGAUCUUCGGGCCUCGCGCUAUAGGGUUGGCCGAUGGCUGAUUAGCUAGUUGGUGGGGUAAAGGCCUACCAAGGCGACGAUCAGUAGCUGGUCUGAGAGGACGACCAGCCACACUGGGACUGAGACACGGCCCAGACUCCUACGGGAGGCAGCAGUGGGGAAUUUUGGACAAUGGGCGAAAGCCUGAUCCAGCAAUGCCGCGUGUGUGAAGAAGGCCUUCGGGUUGUAAAGCACUUUUGUCCGGAAAGAAAUCCUUGGCUCUAAUACAGUCGGGGGAUGACGGUACCGGAAGAAUAAGCACCGGCUAACUACGUG